RNAcentral lists this transfer RNA (73 nucleotides) under Stegodyphus mimosarum. It matches the Rfam family "tRNA". From Rfam's summary of the family: Transfer RNA (tRNA) molecules are approximately 80 nucleotides in length. Their secondary structure includes four short double-helical elements and three loops (D, anti-codon, and T loops). Further hydrogen bonds mediate the characteristic L-shaped molecular structure. tRNAs have two regions of fundamental functional importance: the anti-codon, which is responsible for specific mRNA codon recognition, and the 3' end, to which the tRNAs corresponding amino acid is attached (by aminoacyl-tRNA synthetases). tRNAs cope with the degeneracy of the genetic code in two manners: having more than one tRNA (with a specific anti-codon) for a particular amino acid; and 'wobble' base-pairing, i.e. permitting non-standard base-pairing at the 3rd anti-codon position. The record is from Rfam by way of RNAcentral. Lineage: Eukaryota; Metazoa; Arthropoda; Arachnida; Araneae; Eresidae.
GCCUUCAUGGUGUAGUGGUCAGCACGCUUGACGCGUAACCGAGAGGUCCAUGGUUCGAUUCCCGGAGAAGGCG